AUCUUUGCAGUGAUGUAAAAAUAAAUCUCUGAACAUAUGAAUACAAUUCUUAUUUCAGCAUUUAACUGUGAUAAGUU
This is a small nucleolar RNA of Cynocephalus volans (Philippine flying lemur), 77 nucleotides long. RefSeq annotates it as small nucleolar RNA SNORD72. The transcript has a single exon. The record is from RefSeq and is a predicted model, not a curated record. Lineage: Eukaryota; Metazoa; Chordata; Mammalia; Dermoptera; Cynocephalidae.